GAUGAACGCUGGCGGCGUGCUUAACACAUGCAAGUCGAACGAAGCAUUUAGAACAGAUUACUUCGGUUUGAAGUUCUUUAUGACUGAGUGGCGGACGGGUGAGUAACGCGUGGGUAACCUGCCUUGUACUGGGGGAUAGCAGCUGGAAACGGCUGGUAAUACCGCAUAAGCGCACAAUGUUGCAUGACAUGGUGUGAAAAACUCCGGUGGUAUAAGAUGGACCCGCGUCUGAUUAGCUAGUUGGUGAGAUAACAGCCCACCAAGGCGACGAUCAGUAGCCGACCUGAGAGGGUGACCGGCCGCAUUGGGACUGAGACACGGCCCAGACUCCUACGGGAGGCAGCAGUGGGGAAUAUUGCACAAUGGAGGAAACUCUGAUGCAGCGACGCCGCGUGAGUGAAGAAGUAAUUCGUUAUGUAAAGCUCUAUCAGCAGGGAAGAUAGUGACGGUACCUGACUAAGAAGCUCCGGCUAAAUACGUG
This 481-nucleotide ribosomal RNA is filed under the name uncultured bacterium. RNAcentral's name for it is "partial 16S ribosomal RNA". It matches the Rfam family "Bacterial small subunit ribosomal RNA", at positions 28 to 507 of the family's 1533-position model. The record is from RNAcentral.